GUGGGGAAUAUUGGACAAUGGGGGGAACCCUGAUCCAGCCAUGCCGCGUGUGUGAAGAAGGCCUUUUGGUUGUAAAGCACUUUAAGCGAGGAGGAGGCUACCGAGAUUAAUACUCUUGGACAGUGGACGUUACUCGCAGAAUAAGCACCGGCUAACUCUGUGCCAGCAGCCGCGGUAAUACAGAGGGUGCAAGCGUUAAUCGGAUUUACUGGGCGUAAAGCGCGCGUAGGUGGCCAAUUAAGUCAAAUGUGAAAUCCCCGAGCUUAACUUGGGAAUUGCAUUCGAUACUGGUUGGCUAGAGUAUGGGAGAGGAUGGUAGAAUUCCAGGUGUAGCGGUGAAAUGCGUAGAGAUCUGGAGGAAUACCGAUGGCGAAGGCAGCCAUCUGGCCUAAUACUGACACUGAGGUGCGAAAGCAUGGGGAGCAAACAGGAUUAGAUACCCGUGUAGUCC
This 451-nucleotide ribosomal RNA is filed under the name uncultured bacterium. RNAcentral describes it as "partial 16S ribosomal RNA". It matches the Rfam family "Bacterial small subunit ribosomal RNA", at positions 354 to 796 of the family's 1533-position model. The record is from RNAcentral.